This 301-nucleotide ribosomal RNA is filed under the name uncultured bacterium. RNAcentral describes it as "partial 16S ribosomal RNA". It matches the Rfam family "Bacterial small subunit ribosomal RNA", at positions 509 to 809 of the family's 1533-position model. The record is from RNAcentral.
CAGUCGCCGCGGGAAUACGAAGGGUGCAAGCGUUAAUCGGAAUUACUGGGCGUAAAGCGCGCGUAGGUGGUUUGUUAAGUUGGAUGUGAAAUCCCCGGGCUCAACCUGGGAACUGCAUUCAAAACUGACUGACUAGAGUAUGGUAGAGGGUGGUGGAAUUUCCUGUGUAGCGGUGAAAUGCGUAGAUAUAGGAAGGAACACCAGUGGCGAAGGCGACCACCUGGACUAAUACUGACACUGAGGUGCGAAAGCGUGGGGAGCAAACAGGAUUAGAUACCCCCGUAGUCCCUGUCUCUUAUAA